Long non-coding RNA from Juglans microcarpa x Juglans regia, 355 nucleotides. RefSeq lists it as uncharacterized. The transcript has 2 exons. The record is from RefSeq and is a predicted model, not a curated record. NCBI's taxonomy places the organism in Eukaryota, Viridiplantae, Streptophyta, Magnoliopsida, Fagales, Juglandaceae.
AGGUGACAAGAUUGAUAGAGGUCAUUCUCAAGGCAUAGAUAAUACGCUACAAGAGUCAGAUGAUGUGGAGAGUCCAAAUGAGGACCUAGAUUAGAUUGCUGUUUGUGUUUAAGCUGAGGAAAUGUUGGUAGAAGAAGGACUUCUGGUGUUCUUAGUUUUAAUGUUUUUGAGUUUUAUUAAUAUCUUGGGUUUCAGUAAGAUUUAUGAAAUUAUUGGUUGGGUUGUUAUGACUACCGGGAGAUGACGGACUCCUUAGUUUAUUUUAGCUGCAGUAAUAACUUUGUGGAGUUUUCAAUGUGGUUAUUUAGAACUCUUGAUAUUGAGAUUUGCUAUUAAAGAUUUGGGUUUCUUUUUA